RNAcentral lists this unclassified non-coding RNA (2605 nucleotides) under Eurytemora carolleeae. RNAcentral describes it as "uncharacterized LOC111697509". The record is from RNAcentral. Lineage: Eukaryota; Metazoa; Arthropoda; Copepoda; Calanoida; Temoridae.
GUAAUUUCAGAAAGAAUGGCGGAGGUUAAUAAAUUUGUAUCAGAUUUGGAAGAUUUUGAGACAGAGAAAGAGAAAGCUGAUCGUUUUGCAGGGAACACAUGUACUGUGUAUGUUCAGGAAAAUGAUGUAAAAGUUGAAAUCACAGAAAUUAAAGGAGAAAUUAUCUAUGAAGAGGAUCCUUUACAAUCUAGCCCGAAGAGAUACCAUGAGAGUAUACAAGAAGUGAGAUAUCCAUGCAACCAAUGCGAAUACUCGGCAAUACAGCGAGAAACUCUAAAGAGACACAUGGAGAAUAAGCAUUCUGGAGUAAGAUAUCCCUGUAAUCAAUGUGAAUACAUUGCACCUACUGCUGGAAGUCUCAAAGUGCACACCAACCGAAAACACGACGGAGUAAGAUAUCCAUGUAACCAAUGUGAAUACUCGGCUACUACACAAGACCUUCUCAGAAAACAUAUUUGUACCAAGCAUGAAAAAGUAAGAUAUCCAUGUAAUAGAUGUGAAUAUACUGCAACAACUGUAGGAAAUCUGAAGGUGCACAUGCAAAGUGUUCAUGAAGGCUUGAGGUUUCCAUGUAAUCAAUGUGUUUAUACUGGAGCAAGAGCUAUUGAUCUGAAGAUGCACAUCAAGAGUAAACAUGAAUUAGUAAGAUAUCCAUGUACUCAGUGCAAAUUUACUUCAACAACAAACAGUAGUUUAAGGAAGCACAUGAGGAGUAUGCAUGAAGGAUGCAAGCAUCCAUGUAAUGUAUGUACAUACGUCGCAAAUAGACCACACAAUUUAAAGAUACACAUAAGACGUAAGCAUAAAACCAUCGAUCUUAAAAGCGAUCAUUAGAUCAGAUUAUAUUAUCUUUUUAAAAGCGAUCAUUAUAUNAUCAGAUUAUAUUAUCUCAUAAAAGUGAUCAUUAUAUCAGAUUGUAUUAUCUCUUAAAAGUGAUCAUUAUAUCAGAUUAUAUUAUCUCAUAUAGCAAGUUAACUUUUUCGCUGUGUCUAAAAAUAUGUGAAAUUGCCAAAUGCUCUGUUUUCAAACUUUUCAUGUAAACUCUCGUUCCUAUAGUUACAAGUUUCAGAAAAAAUGUGAUAAUUAUGACUUCUUCCAAAAUUUAAGUGUAAAAUCUUUAUUUUUUAACUUUUGAUAUUUUUAAAUUGAAGUUCACUGUCGACAUAUUAUUGUUUUCUCGAAGUAUUAUCAUUAUGAUUAAAAUGUCAAACAGAUAUUUUCUGUUUUACUCUCAACUUUUAGACAGUCAUGUAAUUAAAUUUUCUCAUGGUAAUAAUUGUUUUUUAAUUUACCAUUAUCAUUAGUGUUACUUUUGUGUGUUAUCUCACAUUAUUUUGAAUGAAAAACAAUAUUUCCUGAAAAAUUUUUUCUCUCCAUUUUCUUAUUCACAGUCAAAGAAUGAAAUUGUUUUUUUUUCUCUCGGAGUUGUACCAUUCAAAAUUAUUAUUGUGUGUUAUGAGUAUUUUUUUUACUUACUUUUAAUAUUUUGUUGAAUGAUAAUAUGAGUUAGCAUAGAUGAAAUGUAAAUAUUGGAUAUGGAAUAUCAUCGGAAGAGGUUAAGAUGGUUUCAGUUACAAUCAAGGAAGAAAUCUUUACUGUAGAAGAAAAAGAUAAAUCUACUAUUCAUGUAAAGGAAGAAGAUACAAAGAUGGAAAAUGUUUCCAUUAAAGAGGAAACCUCUACUGUAGAAGAUAUGUGCACUGUUAAUAUAAAGGAAGAAGAUAUCAACAUGGAAAAUGUUGCCAUUAAAGAGGAAACCUCUACUGUAGAAGAUAUGUGUACUGUUAAUAUAAAGGAAGAAGAUACCAAGAUAGAAAAUGUUGCUAUUAAAGAGGAAACCUCUACUGUAGAAGAUAUGUGUACUGUUAAUAUAAAGGAAGAAGAUACCGAGAUAGAAAAUGUUGCUAGUAAAGAGGAAACCUCUACUGUAGAAUAUAUGUGUACUGUUAAUAUAAAGGAAGAAGAUACCAAGAUGGAAAAUGUUGUUAGUAAAGAGGAAACCUCUACAAUAGAAGAUAUGUGUACUGUUAAUAUAAAGGAAGAAGAUACCAAGAUGGUAAAUGUUGCUAGUAAAGACGAAAUAUCUACUGUAGAAGAAAUGUUUAUUGUUUAUAUAAAGGAAGAAGACGUGAAACUGGAAAGUACAGAUAUAAAAGGUGAAUUGAUAUUUGAAGAUCCGCUACAAUCCGGGACCAAGAUGAGGAAACAUGAAGGAGUCAGGUAUCCGUGUUCUCAGCGAAAUAAUCUGCAAAACGCGAAAAUAAGCUUAAAAGACGCGCAAAGAGUAUGCAUGAGGUAUCCAUGUAAUCAGUGUGAAUAUUCUGCAACACAAGAAGGACAUAUAGAGAGACGCAUACAGAGCAUACAUGAGGUAGUAAGAUAUCCAUGAUCUCCGUGUAAAUACUCUGCAACAACCGCAGGAAAUCUUGAAAUACACACACAGAGUAUCCGCGUAGGGAGUGAGGUAUCCAUGCGACCAGUGUGGACACUCACACAGAAAAUAAAUUCCUUUGCAUUGUAAUUCUCAGCCAUAUUAUAAACUUUUGUUCUCAAAGUUAAAAUUAUUACUAUUAUGUGAUGCAUCUGAAUAAAUUUUAAAUUAGAA